RNAcentral lists this long non-coding RNA (336 nucleotides) under Helianthus annuus (common sunflower). Its description in RNAcentral is "sRNA HanXRQr2_Chr16g0754741". Lineage: Eukaryota; Viridiplantae; Streptophyta; Magnoliopsida; Asterales; Asteraceae. The record is from RNAcentral.
UCACCCUCGUCUUUUCUCUCUCUUCCAACCAGUCGAAAUCUAUGCUCCCCUCUUGUUUUGGCUACCACCGACUCUGAUUUCUCCAUAGUAACUGUAAAUGGAUUCAAACCUAUUAGGAAGAAUAAAUAGAAUUGUGAUUGAUGCCGUUGUGCUGCCUUGGAUCGAAUUAAACCUGCGUUUUAGAUCUGUGUAGAAAAAACCUCACAAGAAGAUGAAAAAAAUCGUUGUUGACAGCUAGGUUUUAAAAAAAGGAUGAUGAAGAUCUGGGAUUGAACGAUGAUGAUGAUACGAAGAUUGUUGAAGGCGGCUGUAGUUAGGGUUUCAGAGAAAGGGAGU